UACGGAGGAUGCAAGCGUUAUCCGGAUUUAUUGGGCUUAAAGGGUGCGCAGGUUGUUUGAUAAGUCAGUGGUGAAAGUCUGUCGCUUAACGGUAGGAUUGCCAUUGAUACUGUUAGACUUGAAUAUGGAUGAGGUAGGCGGAAUGUGUAGUGUAGCGGUGAAAUGCAUAGAUAUUACACAGAACACCGAUUGCGAAGGCAGCUUACUAAUCCAUCAUUGACGCUGAGGCACGAAAGCGUGGGGAGUCAAA
Molecule: ribosomal RNA, 250 nt
Filed under: uncultured prokaryote
Description: partial 16S ribosomal RNA
Rfam family: Bacterial small subunit ribosomal RNA
Source: RNAcentral